UACUCACUUCAGCAGCACACAUAUUAAAUUGGAAUGAUACACAGAAGAUUAGCAUGGCUCUUGCAUAAGGAUGACACUCAAAUUCGUGAAGCAUUACAUAUUUUU
Small nuclear RNA from Psammomys obesus (fat sand rat), 105 nucleotides. The record is from RefSeq and is a predicted model, not a curated record. Lineage: Eukaryota; Metazoa; Chordata; Mammalia; Rodentia; Muridae.